RNAcentral lists this ribosomal RNA (463 nucleotides) under Vreelandella stevensii. RNAcentral describes it as "partial 16S ribosomal RNA". It matches the Rfam family "Bacterial small subunit ribosomal RNA", at positions 338 to 795 of the family's 1533-position model. Lineage: Bacteria; Pseudomonadati; Pseudomonadota; Gammaproteobacteria; Oceanospirillales; Halomonadaceae. The record is from RNAcentral.
CCUAGGGUGGCUGCAGUGGGGAAUAUUGGACAAUGGGCGAAAGCCUGAUCCAGCCAUGCCGCGUGUGUGAAGAAGGCCUUCGGGUUGUAAAGCACUUUCAGUGGGGAAGAAAGCCUUGGGGCUAAUACCCUCGAGGAAGGACAUCACCCACAGAAGAAGCACCGGCUAACUCCGUGCCAGCAGCCGCGGUAAUACGGAGGGUGCGAGCGUUAAUCGGAAUUACUGGGCGUAAAGCGCGCGUAGGCGGUCUGAUAAGCCGGUUGUGAAAGCCCCGGGCUCAACCUGGGAACGGCAUCCGGAACUGUCAGGCUAGAGUGCAGGAGGGAAGGUAGAAUUCCCGGUGUAGCAGUGAAAUGCGUAGAGAUCGGGAGGAAUACCAGUGGCGAAGGCGGCCUUCUGGACUGACACUGACGCUGAGGUGCGAAAGCGUGGGUAGCAAACAGGAUUAGAUACCCUAGUAGUC